Motacilla alba alba is the source of this 1007-nucleotide long non-coding RNA. RefSeq lists it as uncharacterized. Lineage: Eukaryota; Metazoa; Chordata; Aves; Passeriformes; Motacillidae. The record is from RefSeq and is a predicted model, not a curated record. The transcript is spliced from 3 exons.
AGAGAGAGAACAGGGAAUUAGGCCUUUUCUGUUGCUCAGAGUCCCAAGGGUUGCUAACUCUGGUGCAUUACUUUCUACUACGUGUCCAGCAGUGGUAAGGACAAGCAGCAGUGUCUGUCUUGACUUGAGUGGCCUUGAGAGAUCCUUGUGGGUUUGGGGUUUUUUCUCCUUGUUAGUCUCUAAGCAUAAGAGCAUGUCUUAUUCUUGUAGAAAAGGAAAAAGGAGAACAAAAUGAAGAAAAAGAAAGAAAAGAAGAAAAGGAAAGAGAAAACAGGACCUGUCCAGCUUUCCAAGUUCUUCAAAAACAAAAAGAAGAAUGAAAACUACAGCAUGAUAACCGGAAAGAAAAUUAAGAUGAAAAUAAAGAAGACUAAGGAAGAUAUAGAGAGAGACCGGAACCGUGCCCAGCUCCUGGAAUUUCUGAACUCUGCCUUGUAAUGGGAAGAGUCCUCACCAAGGACUGGUAGAUGCACCAAGCCAACCAUCAUCCUAGCAGAACACUAAAGAGAAACUCAGGGAAAAGGACACCAAGUUGGACAAGACCAGACCCGCCUACUGAGAAGAGAAUUGGGAUGUCCUUUCUUAAUGGCAAAACACAGAGUAGCUAAUAACUUGUUAAUGGAGAUCAUGUCCUCCUUUUGAGAUCCUAAGGUAAUAGCCAGGCUGUGGUGUUUUAGGAAAGCCCAAGUGUGUGUUGUUCAUAAUGAUCAGAAAUGACACACUGAAGUCCAGCAAUGUAAUUUCUAUCUUAACUGCAUGCAGAAUGCACUCUUAAUUUCAAAUGUCUUAAUUCUUGUAGUAGUUUAAGCAGAGUAUUUGUAAAUGUUUAUUUGAACAUUUGAACAUUUAUUUGAAAGAUGAGGUAUUUCUUUUAUGUAUAUUUUUUCUAGUAGUGGUUAUGCGUGUCAUAAAGAGCAAACUGACCUUUGUAAAUAGAGCAUCCUUUUACAUAAACGAUUUUUUUUGAAAGUUCAUUCACUAAUACAUUAUUUUCUUUCAGAAUUCGA